CCUACGGGUGGCAGCAGUGGGGAAUAUUGGGCAAUGGAGGAAACUCUGACCCAGCAACGCCGCGUGAAUGAUGAAGGUCUUCGGAUUGUAAAGUUCUUUUCUAAGGGAAGAAGAACGUGACGGUACCUUAGGACUAAGCCUCGGCUAACUACGUGCCAGCAGCCGCGGUAAUACGUAGGAGGCAAGCGUUAUCCGGAAUGACUGGGCGUAAAGGGUGCGUAGGUGGUUUGACAAGUUGGUAGCGUAACUCCGGGGCUCAACCUCGGCACUACUACCAAAACUGUCGGACUUGAGUGCAGGAGGGGGAAAAGGAAGUGCCAGGGGAGGGGUGGAAUGCGUAGAAAUUAGGAGGAACACC
Molecule: ribosomal RNA, 358 nt
Filed under: uncultured bacterium
Lineage: Bacteria
Description: partial 16S ribosomal RNA
Rfam family: Bacterial small subunit ribosomal RNA
Source: RNAcentral